CUCCCUGUGGGAACACAUAGUCAGAAGAUUAGUAAGUUGUCAAAUGUCUUAACCCAAAUGACACAGCAUGUAAAGGGUGGCAAGGCAGCACCAGGUCAGCAGUAUCCCCGUACUUAAAUCAGAGGGAGGGUCAUGAAAAAACGCAAAUUUAAGGGUUGCAUCCCCAGAGAACCCGGCUCAGGAGUGGAGUCACAGAUCUGCGUGUUAAACCCUACCCCAGGAGAAUCUGGUAUUGGUGGUGAGAGGUCGGACUCUGCAAACAAAGACUUGAGCAGCCCAACCACUCCUCUUCCCUGGGGCCCCCUGGACCCAUGCAGGCCAUGGCGCCCAUGACCAAGCCCAUCCCUCUAGGGCCCUGGUUGAGGCAUGGAGCAGCACUUCUGGGACUUGUGAGCUUCUCCCCAUUCUCCACAAACUUCACUCACACACACUUUUCGUGCUUUAAAAUUUCCAUAACUUCCCAGUCCAUGACACCUUGUCCUGUUUGUCUCUACUAGAAGGCCUGAUUACAUACAAACUCAUGUGAUUUUUUAAAGGUAUCGUGAUAGUCCAUGGUGCUCCACAAAGAAGGCCCAGGCCGUCCAGCCCUGCCAUGGGUACUGUCCCUGCUCCACAGGUGCACUGGAAGCAUCCGCGAGGUGGGCCACACUGUGACCAGGACUCCCAGUGCGUGACCACACAUGCAGUGUGCAGGCCACCUGGGGCUUUAGCUAUGAGGGAAGAGUGGCCUUGCAGGGUGUGCCUCCACCAGGCUGGUCCUCCCUGGACAUGCUGCGGUGUCCACGGAGGCAUGGCCUUGUGCUGACAUGCUGCGGUGUCCACGGAGGCGUGGCCUCGUGCUGGCAUGCUGCGGUGUCCACGGAGGCGUGGCCUCGUGCUGGCAUGCUGCGGUGUCCACGGAGGCGUGGCCUUGUGCUGGCAUGCUGCGGUGUCCACGGAGGCGUGGCCUUGUGCUGGCAUGCUGCGGUGUCCACGGAGGCGUGGCCUUGUGCUGGCAUGCUGCGGUGUCCACGGAGGCGUGGCCUUGUGCUGGCAUGCUGCGGUGUCCACGGAGGCGUGGCCUUGUGCUGGCACAUGCUCCUGGGCUGCCCUCAGGACCAACCCCCUUGUCUGGGGCCCAGAUACAGGUCCUGAACUAACAGAUUUCUCAUCACAUCACCUCAAAAAACUUCAAAACCUCCCCAGUAUGAGGUGGGUAGAAAAGCCACGACUUGCCUGGCAUUCAGCAGCCUCUGUGGUCUCUAAGGCUGACUCACCUUCCCCAGUGUCCUCCCAUUGUGGUGUUUUACCCCAGUCUAGCUACUGAAAGUCCCCCAAGACCCACCUUCCUGCCGUGAUGUCAUCCCUUUGUGACUGCUGCCCUUGUCUCUGAGCUACUGGUCUGCAGGACUGGUGACAUGCUCCUCACAUCUGGCCAGGGUCAGCCCGUGUGUGCUCAUCUUACACACGUGGUCUCCAGCUCACCUCCAGCAUGAGCACUUGUGACCACACACUGAGAAUAACAGGUGACUCCAAGCUUGGAGCAGUUGUGAGCUCACAGCUGUCAGCUUGGGUCCAGAGGCCAACACACCGAGUAGCUUGGUGUUGCAGUGGCCUGGCUGUGCGGCCCGUGGAAGCAGACAACGGCAGUCAGGACUGCAGGGCCCUACCACGUCCCUACAGCCCUUCCCCAACACAGGAGGUGCAAGCUCAGCAUUACCCAAGAACAUGGGGCUGGGGCCAAGCGGUGGAGGCUUCAGUCUAAGUUCUGCAACGAAGAAUCAGCUUGGUUUUGGGUGAGCCAUGUGGGGCAUAAGGUUCUUCAGCAAAAUGAGGGACUGAACCAUAGAACCUUAAGUUGGAUUUGUGAAGAAAAUUACUUUGAGAACAAAAAAGGGAACAGUUUCCAAAUCACGAAAUGAUCUUACUAAUCUAUCAUAGCUCUUAAAAUGUAGUUCGCCUCAUUAAUGGAAUAAUACAAAAGGAAAAUGUAGUUUGCCUCAUUAACUUGGAAUAAUAUGACAGGACACUGAUUUCUGCCCAUUUGUAUGCAGACUUCAUUAGAAAAUAGUCAAAAUUUAGUUUCUAUAAAAAUUGUAAGUACCACUGUACCACACUGCAUUAGACUAACAGGUCAUCUUUAGUGCUCAAAAUAAACUUGUCCUGCAGGACCUCAUGGCCUCUGAAAUGAAAGAGGAGUUUGGCCUGACAACCGCCACGCCUACUGCCACCUAAGCAGCAGCGUCCAGCAUCUGCAGGUCUCUCAGCCGCUUGUCAUGGCUUCGCUGACAACCUCAGUCUGGAGAGGAGAGGGAACCCUGCAGGACUGUGUAUGCAGUGCAGACUUUUUUUUUUUUUUUUUUGUAAAGACAGGGUCUCGCUAUGUUUCUCAGGCCAGUGUCAAACUCCUGGCCUUAAGUGAUUCUCCCACCUCAGCCUGCCAAAGUGCUCAGAUUACAGGUGUGUGCCCAGCCACGGCGCAAACUUCUGAGGACCUACUGCCAACCAGGUAAGGAAACAGGCAAUGUGAGAGAGUAUCACACAUUUAUUUUGCAAUAAAUCAACUUUGUUUUGGGGGUCUCAAUCUCUGUCUAUCUAUAGUUGGUGGCAGAAAGUCAAAAGAUGGAGAAAAGGAUUGGGAACAGUAGAAAAAGCAGCCUUCCCUCUCAUGGUUGGACAUGGCUCCACACACCCUGGCUGCUCUCCCUUCAUGGGGUGCUACGCACGACACCUGGUGGGAUCUGGGUGCAUCUGAGGCGGCUACUCCCCCCAUGACACGAAACCUCUGAGAAUGGUAUUUGCAAGGCUGACACCAAGUAGUUCUCCUAGAGAUAGUCUGGGUGGAUAAGAAUCUGGGCUGAGUUCUCCUAUUCCAUCAAGAAAAAUAAUGGGACUGCAGUAGUUACAGGUGUAAACAUGAACUGAAGGAGGGCAUGAAAGAAUAAUUAAAAAGUCUCAUUAACAAAAUAAACUAAUAAGAUAUCUAACUUCACUGACAGACAAAGCAGCAUUCAAUCAAUGAGAUAGAUUUUUCAUCUACCAAAUUGGUUUUUGAAAACCAGCGGAUCACGAGGUCAAGAGAUUGAGACAAUCCUGGCCAACAUGGUGAAACCCCUUCUGUACUAAAAAUACAAAAAUUAGCCGGGCGUGGUGGCACAAGCCUGUAGUCCCAGCUGCUCGGGAGGCUGAGGCAAGAGAAUCGCUUGAACUCGGGAGGCGGAGGUUGCAGUGAGCUGAGAUCACGUCACUGCACUCCAGCCUGGGCAACAGAGCGAGGCUCUGUCUCAAAAAAUUAAAAAAGAAAGAUUCUAACUUAAAUCCUACAUACAUCUAUACGUAUGUGUAUGUAUGAUCACAAGGGUUGUACACACUAUGUAUGAAGGAUCACAUGUCCUAUUCAAAGUUCAGUCGAGCAGGUAUGUUCUCUAGAACCAUACACUAGAAGCUCACACUGAAAGUUACAGACAUGAAUAGGAAAACUGGCAAACACAUAACUGGCACUCAGAGACCUAACUACAAAGGGAAAACAACUGCCAUCAUUUCUGCUCACAGGCCUGUCCUUGGUAUCCAGAAAACAGCAGCCUCCCGUCACGUGCACAACUAUCCUUUGUCCUUUACUUUUAAAAGUCAUGUUUUGGUUUUCUUAAACUGUAAGUAAUACUGCUUUCCUUCUUUCUUCUUUCCUUUACUUAUAACAUUAUUGCAGGUUAAGGGUUCUUGUAUUCUUAUGUAUUUCUAUGUAGGUAAAUGAAUGUGUAUAUACAUAAAUAUGUACUAUGCACCUUUACACAUAUAAUCCAGUCACCUAAAUUUUUAAUAUGUAUGUAACUAUAUAUAUACACGUAUAUAUAUAUAUACGUGUAUAUAUAUAUAUAUAUAUAUAUAUAUAUAUAUAUAUACACGUAUAUAUAUAUAGUUUUAAGGCUAUAUUUGAGUAGGAAAGUAAUGUUGGGCAAAGAACUAAUAGGGUGUUUUAAAAUUCACUAUGAGCAACAGUGACUUACCCACUGCCAGAAGAGCCACCUACCCAACAGUGGCUGGUGACACCAGGGCACACACCUCUGUGGCUCAAUUAGCUCAUUAUUGAGAAAGCCACUGCGAACUCCCAAUGCAAUACGACUGCAACGUGAAGCAGUCAGAACAGAGUCAGGCUGUGGGGAGGCUGCACCUGGACCCAACUCCUUCCCCAAACCACAUCUCCACCUUUCACAGGAGGGAGCCAGCAGGGCUGCUGAGUGGUGACUCUGCCCUACCUAGGAUUUCAAGCCAGUCCUUGGCUGGUGGGGAGAUGAACGAAACUCACUUUCUGUUCUUAGUGCCAUGGUUUGUUAGAAAAAACGCCCUCCUUGUGGAAGCAUUUUCCUAAGUGACCUCAGGGAUCACAAGCUGCCCAGUCACAAUUCUCAGAAGGAACCAAUGAUUAAUAAUAAUUGGCACAGGUCCCACUUCUAACAGAACAGAACUAGAAGCAUGGGACAAGUCUCUGCUACGUUUGUAUACGCCAGUGCUGCUGAGUGGAUGGCUGAGGGGAAGUGGCCUCUGUGUGAUGGCUGCGUACUUAUGGGAGUGCUUUUAAAACCAACCUUUUUCUACAGCAUCUUUAUUUAAUCAUGUCUUUCUCAUGGAAAGUGGCAGCAUGGCCAGAACCCCGGACAGGGUGUCAAAAGCCUGGCUCUACUUUAGCCUUGCCAAUUACAACAUGGCAAGGGUGUGCACAUCCACGGGGUGUGGAAACGAAGAUCGAAUGCACUAAAUGCCUACGAAGAACAGUACACCUUCUGCUGCAUUUAAAUCUUGGUUUCUUCAUUUUACAAAUGAGAGGACACUGAGGCACACAGAAGUUUGGUUACUUGCCGUAUGUCCUUAAGAACCUGCUCAAGACCCCAUAGCUGGUGAAGGGUAGACCCAGCUCCCUCAUCUGUGUGACUCUCAGACUCCAGUGCUAUGUUGCCCACAUGGCCUAGGACCAGAGAACAGGACCCAGGGUUCCUUUCUGUAAUACUUCUGUCUUGUUGUUUAAUUCUUCUGACAGGGAAGAGGGGAGCAGGUGAGGCCCCCAGACUAUAAUGGAAAUGGCUCAGCAGCUGCUACAAACACCCACAGCCAAUGGCAGCCACAACCAGGGCCCAGGAGGGAGGCCAGGGCUGCCGCUCGGCGUGAAGAAUGCACAUUAACCUACUGAUAACUUAAAAUUAACAUUUUAAAAUUCUGUUUUUGCUUAAUGGAGGAAAAAAAGGCCACUUUUUGGAUACUGAUGCUAUGAAAUUUCUAAUACAAAAAAAAAUCUGGCAUUGUUCAUUAGUUGGACUGCUAUGCUAUGAGAAUUAGUUUAUGAAUGAAACCUAGUAUUGAAAGUUGUGGCCGGGUGUGGUGGCUCACACCUAUAAUCCCAGCACUUUGGGAGGCCCAGGCGGGAGGAUGGCUUGAGCCCAGGAGUCUGAGACCAGCCUGGGCAACAUAAUGAGAUGUCGUCUCCACACACACACAUGUACACGCACAUGUACACACACACAUAUAAAUUAGCCAGGGUGGUGCAUGCCUGUGGUCCCAGCUACCCAGGAGGCUGAGGUGGGAGGCUCACUUGGGCCUAUGGGGCAGAGGUUGCAGUGAGCAGGGACUGAGCCAUUGCAUUCCAGCCUGGGCAACAGAGUGAGUCUUAACACCAAAAAAAA
This 5651-nucleotide long non-coding RNA is filed under the name Homo sapiens (human). RNAcentral's name for it is "HSALNT0338753". Lineage: Eukaryota; Metazoa; Chordata; Mammalia; Primates; Hominidae. The record is from RNAcentral.